GACGAACGCUGCGGCGUGCUUAACACAUGCAAGUCGCACGGAAAGGCCCUGCUUUUGUGGGGUGCUCGAGUGGCGAACGGGUGAGUAACACGUGAGUAACCUGCCCUUGACUUUGGGAUAACUUCAGGAAACUGGGGCUAAUACCGGAUAGGAGCUCCUGCUGCAUGGUGGGGGUUGGAAAGUUUCGGCGGUUGGGGAUGGACUCGCGGCUUAUCAGCUUGUUGGUGGGGUAGUGGCUUACCAAGGCUUUGACGGGUAGCCGGCCUGAGAGGGUGACCGGCCACAUUGGGACUGAGAUACGGCCCAGACUCCUACGAGAGGCAGCAGUGGGGAAUAUUGCACAAUGGGCGGAAGCCUGAUGCAGCAACGCCGCGUGCGGGAUGACGGCCUUCGGGUUGUAAACCGCUUUCGCCUGUGACGAAGCGUGAGUGACGGUAAUGGGUAAAGAAGCACCGGCUAACUACGUG
Molecule: ribosomal RNA, 467 nt
Filed under: uncultured bacterium
Lineage: Bacteria
Description: partial 16S ribosomal RNA
Rfam family: Bacterial small subunit ribosomal RNA
Source: RNAcentral